CGGCGGACGGGUGAGUAAUGCCUAGGAAUCUGCCUGGUAGUGGGGGACAACGUUUCGAAAGGAACGCUAAUACCGCAUACGUCCUACGGGAGAAAGCAGGGGACCUUCGGGCCUUGCGCUAUCAGAUGAGCCUAGGUCGGAUUAGCUAGUUGGUGAGGUAAUGGCUCACCAAGGCGACGAUCCGUAACUGGUCUGAGAGGAUGAUCAGUCACACUGGAACUGAGACACGGUCAGACUCCUACGGGAGGCAGCAGC
RNAcentral lists this ribosomal RNA (255 nucleotides) under uncultured Pseudomonas sp. RNAcentral's name for it is "partial 16S ribosomal RNA". It matches the Rfam family "Bacterial small subunit ribosomal RNA", at positions 96 to 355 of the family's 1533-position model. Lineage: Bacteria; Pseudomonadati; Pseudomonadota; Gammaproteobacteria; Pseudomonadales; Pseudomonadaceae. The record is from RNAcentral.